AGUCACUGCCAUACUACCCUGAACAUGCCCAAUCUCGUCUGAUCUCCCAUGCUAAGCAGGGUCAGGCCUGGUCAGCACUUGGAUGGGAGACCUGUGAUAUUAAAAUAGAGCAGUCAGAA
RNAcentral lists this ribosomal RNA (119 nucleotides) under Microcebus murinus (gray mouse lemur). The record is from RNAcentral. Lineage: Eukaryota; Metazoa; Chordata; Mammalia; Primates; Cheirogaleidae.